GGAAUUGCACCGCCCUUGCCAGGAGCCAGCACUCCUCUGCAUUUGGACUCUCCAAACAUAGCCGAUUCCUGAAGAGCACUCCUGAGCCACUUCCCCUGGGGAAUGUAGGUGGGGCUGCUGCGUUCCGUCUACCUGCCAGCAGGGCUGAUGAGGGCCCUUGGGCUUCCUUCCCCACUCCAUGGUGCACUGCUUAAGAGCCCUUCUUGUACAGACUGACAUAUCUGUCGAGUUCCAGCUUACUUUCCAAAGCUGACCAAGGUUCCAUCUAGUGUCUCCCAUCCACAAUGAUCAUCACAACAGGUCCAGUGAACAUCCCUCAUGAUAUAUGGUUAUUUUUCUUCCAACUUCUAAAAUGAGGUGCAUCAUUUGGUGAAGAGCUUCUUUCCUUUUUGGCGCCAGCAUGGGACAUUUGGCCCGCGUUCGUCAUUCCCACAAUCCUCUUGGCUUUGGGCUGCCGACCUCCCUGUGGCUUGGCGGAUGAGACGCCAUUUUUGUGGUGCCUGCGGGUUCAACUUGCUCCACGUUCCUGUACUGCCUUCGGACCCAGAAAGUUCAAACUGAUUUCGGGCAGAGCUAGUUGAUUGCUGAUAAGAAGACCUUUUCCAAGGAGCUCUGGGCUACCGGUGUGCAGAUCCUCUCUGCACUGCAUUCCGACAUCAGCAGCCUUCUUAUCUGCUCUGGAAAUCCUGAAGCAAUAUUUGUAUUAAAUACACAGGUGAGUGCACACCAAAUGGGAAGGCAGCUGUAGAGGCCCAGAAUGGAUCUCCAUUUCAUUAAAGGAUCCCUUCUCUUCGUAGAGUGUUGUGAGGGGAAUAUGUAAAAACGUAGACCUUAAGAAAGGUACCUCUAUUCACAGGCAGACAUGUGGGUUGAUCACACAGGAUACAGUUGAACCCAAACUAACCCUCCCAGUACCAGCUCUUUCAUUCUCCUCCUACAACUGCCAUUCAUAUUCACACCAACACUCUUUAUUGUGAAGAGAGCCAACAAAUGCUAUUUGAGGAUGGUUAAUUACUCAAGGACGAACACUAUACAGAGAAGUUGGAAAAAUAUCUACAGGCAUUGUGGUUUUCAACGUGCCUCCACUUCACUGGGGCAAAGCUGAAAUAUAAAGGCAUUAUUUGGCAAUAUGUACCUUUUUCUAUGAAAAUGCCUUUAUACAAAACCACCAUACUCUUCUCAAGGUUCUCUACCUGACAUGAGAGAAGUUUAAGAAGGUAUAAAGGAAAUACCAAAUGGGACUCGGGCGCUGCGCUAGGAUCUGGAAGACAAUCAAUGCUAGUCUUGAUCUUGAUCCUGAACCUCCACGGUUACUCUCGAGGCAAGUUGUUGAACCUCUCAGGGCCUCAGGUUCUUUCUGGAGACAAUUAUCCUGCCUUCCUCCUGAGACUGUUGGUAGAGUCAAAUGAGAUUGUAUAUGCAGUCAUAUCUAUGAGCUAUAAACUGCUGUACAAAUCUAAGGCACAUUUAAAUAAUUCAAAGGAACCACAUUUAACUAGACUUUUGAAUAUGUCUUAAGAAAAUAAUUUAAGAGCAUUACAUAUCACCAAGUCACGUUUUUACUCAGUAGCCAGUGGGAAAAGGCUGGAGUUGCCGGAAAUGGAAUUUAGGUGAGAAAUUAGAGUUUCUUCAAUCUCUGGAUUGGGAAGUGUUGAAAUAAAUGAUAAAGCGAGGUUUCAUUAUCUCCCUUUUUUAAAAGGAAAAUGCGGAUGGCUAAAGCUUUGGAAAUGAAAAGUAGAUGGGCUGGGACAGGGGGGUGGUUGAUGGAACAGUGCAACGUCGGAGAAUCUCUUUCAUACACAGAAUCAUGUGCCCAUUGCUAGCAGAACACACUUCUUGCUGUGGGUUGCCUUUGUAGUAACUGCACCAAUCAACUCUUGCUGACUCUAAAUGGGGGAAAAGUAAAGUAAAUUUCAAAUGACUUUUUUUCAUUGCUGUUCAUGUUUGCUGCCAAUGUUUGCUUCCAUGCUUGAAAACAUGAGCAGAGAUUUGUCUUUGGGAAGAGCUCUAUUUCUCGUGUUUAAAUAGCUGCUGCCCUAAAGGGGAUUGAAAAGAGGUUGGGGACAGCCAGUAUCCCAUGGCCAGAGGGACAGCACAUUUUGCUCUACAAAACAAAGAAUGUUUAGAAUAAAAAGAAAGCAACCAACGUGGAAUGUGUUAUUGCUUACCUGCAUUUCUUGAAUUGGAUCAGAAACAAAGACAGACAGACAGGGCUCAAAUUGCCUUUGGGCAUUUAUCAUUGUAAGUGUUUGGAGAGCCCAGGUUAUGAAAUAUCAGUGUGAUUAAAGAUUUAUGGAUAUAAUAGUCAUUUUCUUGUUAAUUUAAUUCUCUUACAAUUUUUAAAAAAAUACACAUCUUCUAUUCUAGGCCAAAUUUCUGAAGUAUCUGUCAGGAAGAAAAUGCUAUAAUAUAUGAAUUUUUUGCCCUAUGAACUGAUUAUUUUUAGCAGCUUUUUAUGAGUGUAAUAACAGUAAUUUUAGCAGCUAAUUUACCUAAAAUCAUUUCAUUCCGAAACCUGAAAGCCCCCAAAUCAAAAGGUUCUCUUUGUCUAAAAAGUUUAAUCAAAAUAAAUGUUUCUAGUUAGUUUUGAGAGGAAAAAUUAGGGUUUCUUCUUGCUCAAAUAUUUAGUAAGCUCUCAAGGAGGUGUGGGGGGAAGCAAUCUGCCUGUCAUAGGAGAGAAAAAAAAAUUAAAGAGCAGGAUUUUUAAAUUGUACCUCUUGACACCAAUAAAUAACAAGAAAGAGCUAGUACCAUUCUUUAACAUGCGUGCGUACAAUACAAUAAGCAAAUCUGACUCAUCUGCCAGCCUGAUUGCUUUGUUUAGAAUUCCACUGUCAGAGGUAAAGUGGGGGUGAGGGGAUUUAUGUAAAUUAGGCCCUUCCAAGCUGGAAGAAAGUUGGAUUACUUAAAAAAAAAACAAAAACAAAAAAAAACCCAAAACAAAACAAAAUAAUUUUUCCAACUUUACAAAGUUAAAAGUGCUUUUGUUUCCACAUCAGUUCUGAAUAAGAGUGACUUUUAAGUCCCCAGAUUCAGGUUAGAAGUAUGAUCUGGAAACCACGACGAUGAAUUUCCACAGAUUUUUUCCAAGGUUUGAAGGUAACUGCUCUGUAUCUUCCUGCCUUUCUGGAGUGAGUGUUGGAAUGGGGAAAUGGGCCAGGGGGCUAGAAGAGGGGGAGUGGAUUUUUGGAUGAGACAUUUAGUCCUGGUUUCUGUAUGAGCUGAGUGUCAUCAAUCAGAUUAACCUAAGAAAUAAGCAGCUGCCUGUCUGAAGGUUAUAUAAAGUGAUGGCAGCUCCAGUUUGUUUAUGUUCAAUCAGAAUUGAUACUAAGGUAACAGUAUAGACCCUCAGACCCCUGGAACGUAACAGUAUAGACCCUCUGACCCCUGGAAACCUCUGUGUAGUACCCUAACAUUGUGGGCACUUUGUUGGUUUGUUCUAGAGGGCAGUGGGGCUGGCAUCUGAUUCUCUGACCCCAUUUGACCUGACCGUGGGUAUUUCACAUUCUGGCAGUCUGCGCGCACUUAAAUGCUGAAUUCAGAUUACUUAGAGAAUUCUAGGUCUUCUCUGACACUUCGCAGAGAGGGCAAUGUUGUAGCGUUGACUGCAAAAUAAGAAGUAAUAAAUUCAAAUCCACACCAAUGAUUGGGGAAUCAGAGAGCAUGCGCUUCUGGGGAAAUUUGGUUUUAGGCAAUGGGUGGAGCCUGAUGGCAUGGAGAAACGGUCCUUUCUGGUGACACCAGCGUUUUCCCUUUCCAGCUCCAGUCUAAUCCCAACCAGCCUUGGAUUGACCCGCUAUGGGAGCUGGAAGUUUUGUGAGAAUGCUCUAGCCCUCAUAGCAUUUGAGGGAGAGGACGAGAAGGGGAGACAAUUGGCCUGAAGAAUUGCAUUCUCCCCUGGAAGAGUGGCCAGGCUAAAGUCCAGCAACAGAGCUCUGGGCCUGUGGUUCUCAGAGUUUGUGGAGAACAAGGGUGGCUUCUGUCUACUCGUGGUUCCAGGAAUACUCGCUGAUCUUCCUCGUCCUGAAGAAGCGGAGACAUGGGGGUUCACAACCUCUGUCUGAGGUGGAGCAUGUCACUCUUUGUCCCUAAGGAGACCAAGAACUAAUAAUAAAAUACCAAAUGGUUAAAUAUUUUCUAUUAUUUUUAACAGGACUUCUUAUCAUUUUCUUAUUUUUUUAAAUGAAGAAGUGGAAUUCAGUCAGGUUGUGUGCUGAAUCCUCUGUCACAAUGGCUAACUUAACAUUAAUUAACAUUUUUUGUCAGGAGCUGCACAAGAGCUAGCUUUGAGCAGAGAAAUGGAGAGGCAGGACUGGGUAGGACAAACACAACCUCCCAAAGGAUGUUAAACUGGGGGACAGUAUUUUUUUAGAUGGCUGUGCAAGAUUGAUGUGUCAUUGGUGCCAUGACUGUGGAGGCAAUGACCCAAAUGAAGCUCAUUUUGAAAUGGAAAAUGUAUCUGUUAUAGGAAUGAGAAAGUACUAUCAACUCAUUUACACUGUGUUGCCGCGAUUUUUCUGUAUACAUUGCUUAAAUUAUUUCAUUUUUGCUAAUUUCUGAACAGUAGUGGGAUUGAGGCCGGGGUCUACAUUUUGUAGUUUUGUAUUGGCUGGACAGUUUUAAUAAAUCCAAAAGUAUGAGAGCAAAUUUUUUAAAAAUUUUGAGAAUUAUUAAUUUGUUUCAUAAUUAUGAGACAAUAUUUGACAGAUAUUUCACAGGCAUUGAACAACAUUGUUCAACAAUUUUGAAGAGACAUUUUUGGGAGUGAAUUUUGAGGAGCCAUUUUUGGGGGUGAAAAUGUCUCAACAAUCCCUGCCCUCGGAAAGGUCAAAUUAGCUUUAUUUGAAAUAAUGUGACUCCAAAGACACCCUCACCCUCCUUUUUGUCAUCUUCCAGUAUAUCCACUGGAACUGUCCUGUUAGUGUCCAGAUCUCAAAAUGUGUUCUUUCAAAGAUUCCUCCUAAGAGGAGCUGUGGCCCUCAAGCAUGGUAUGCCUUGGAGAGUAGCCUGCUUUUAAUGAUGAUAAGAAAUGUCACAAAAAAAUGAUCUAUCGCAUGUACUUUCUUAGUAUAAUAUAUGAGAAAAGUUUGUUCUAUCCUUUUUAUUCAUUCUAACAGACAUUAUUAGACAUAAUGAGCAAUAUUGUAGAGACUUAUACAAUAAGUUGAGAAUUUAUGGUGAUGGAGAUGGAUGAUGAUCAGGUAUAAGAACAUUAAAAAAACAACAACACUAUUUGGCCCGUUGUGUUCUCAUUAUGUUUAGUUGCCAGAAUCCCCCAGAUAAGACUUAAUUUUCCCUUUUAAAUAAUCUGUGAAUUUAUAUUUUAAAAAUACCUC
Enhydra lutris kenyoni (northern sea otter) is the source of this 5336-nucleotide long non-coding RNA. RefSeq lists it as uncharacterized. Lineage: Eukaryota; Metazoa; Chordata; Mammalia; Carnivora; Mustelidae. The transcript is spliced from 6 exons. The record is from RefSeq and is a predicted model, not a curated record.